Molecule: non-coding RNA, 706 nt
Organism: Nicotiana tabacum (common tobacco)
Lineage: Eukaryota; Viridiplantae; Streptophyta; Magnoliopsida; Solanales; Solanaceae
Source: RefSeq, a predicted model, not a curated record
CCACUAACGAAAAUAAUUAAUAUGCAUUUAGGAAGGAAAGAUAAUAUCUUUAUAAGAAAAACUUCUUUCAUGAUAUUUUCUUCACUUUCUCCUCCAAUCAAGCAAAUCAUGUUAAAGUACCAUUAUCUCGUUCAUCUUAAUUAUUAACUAUAUAUAUAUCUUCCUUUUUCUUUCUUCUUCAUUCACAAAGAAAACAUUCAGUAGUUGCAGUUUGAUUCAAUGGCUUCAUCAAGCAGCCUUCAACCUGAUGGGAUGGGAAAUCAUGACCAGCUUACUCCUUUAGAAAAACAUGUAAUGUUCUUUGAUAUCAACAAAGAUGGAAUAAUAUAGCCUUGGGAAACAUAUCUAGGUUUCAGAAAACUGGGACGUAAUAUUUUCCGCUCACUUUUGGCUGCUGUUCUCAUUCAUCUUGUUCUCAGUCACAAGACUCGACCGGGCGGCAAACGGACGGGACGGGUCGAAAACGAGUAAUGAAAAAACGGAUAAAUUAUCCGAUCUGAUCCGAUCCAUAUUUAAUAUGGAUAAAAAACGGGUUAACCGGCGGAUAAUUUGAGUAACCAUCUUAUCCAUGACUUCAUGAAUAUGAUCACUUUUGGGAUAAUUCCUAGUCUCUCAAACUUGAGGAACCCCAGUUUGAGAUUUUAUAAAUGUAAAAGUUAAACACGUUAGUUAUUCAUUUUCUAAAUGAAUAAUAUGGUUCUUAUUC